Molecule: ribosomal RNA, 519 nt
Filed under: uncultured microorganism
Description: bacterial SSU rRNA
Rfam family: Bacterial small subunit ribosomal RNA
Source: RNAcentral
GAGUUUGAUCCUGGCUCAGAUUGAACGCUGGCGGCAGGCUUAACAUAUGCAAGUCGAGCGGGGGAGAUUGCUUCGGUAAUUGACCUAGCGGCGAACGGGUGAGUAAUACUUAGGAAUCUGCCUAUUAAUGGGGGACAACAUCUCGAAAGGGAUGCUAAUACCGCAUACGCCCUACGGGGAAAGCAGGGGAUCACUUGUGACCUUGCGUUAAUAGAUGAGCCUAAGUCGGAUUAGCUAGUUGGUGGGGUAAAAGGCCUACCAAGGCGACGAUCUGUAGCGGGUCUGAGAGGAUGAUCCGCCACACUGGGACUGAGACACGGCCCAGACUCCUACGGGAGGCAGCAGUGGGGAAUAUUGGACAAUGGGGGGAACCCUGAUCCAGCCAUGCCGCAUGUGUGAAGAAGGCCUUAUGGUUGUAAAGCACUUUAAGCGAGGAGGAGGCUCCUGUAGUUAAUACCUUACAGAGAGUGGACGUUACUCGCAAGAAUAAGCACCGGCUAACUCUGUGCCAGCCGCCGA